AUAUUAUGAUAUCCUUUUCCAUAAUGAAAUAUUUUUGUCUCACCUUAUAUGUAUUUAGCCACCCAUCCUUCUCUCAGUGUCUCUGUAAAUAUUGAAAAUAAAACAGGAUGUUUGAAGCAGUUUUUAAACUAUGCAUAUUGCAUAUAUUUAUGCAGAAAAUAGAGUGACUUCAGUAAUAACUGGCAGAGACACAUGUAUAAUGAGCAAACUUUAGUGGCAUAAUUUUCCACUUCAUUAUAUGUUUGUUUUUUUCUCUUCAGCUGAGGUAAUUUAAUGUCCAUUUUCUUCCUAUUGUUUGUCAACCUGUUUGUUUGUGUGAAGCACUAUAAAUACAGUCUCAGCAUGUUGCCAUAACAAUUGUUUUAUUUUCAUUCAUGUAGUAGAAGCUUGAUGAGAUUGUGAAACUACCACAUAAGCAGUUUGAAGGACAAGCAUCUGAGAUGUAUGACCACAGAUAAGAAUGGACUGAAGACUGAGUGGAGAAGAAUGGAGAAUGGACAAAGUCUCCACAGAUUGCCUGCACAUAGCUCUGGGAAGAUGAAACUCAUUUUGGUCAAGUUCCUCUGCCAGAGUCAAACUACUGACAUUUUGAAAAACUGUUCCUUUCAUGAGAUGUAAGAUGGACUCCUCCAUCUGUGUUUUGUAUCAAUGUCCUCUAAAGAUUGGAAGUAAGCCUUUUAUUACCAACUGGGCACAACACAUAUUUCAUGUAAAGGCAAAAACUAACUGAAUGUAUAGCCACCAUAAAAAAAUAAAAUAAAAUUCAGGAAAUAUCUUCA
RNAcentral lists this long non-coding RNA (779 nucleotides) under Cyanistes caeruleus (blue tit). Its description in RNAcentral is "lncRNA (ENSCCEG00000017591.1)". Lineage: Eukaryota; Metazoa; Chordata; Aves; Passeriformes; Paridae. The record is from RNAcentral.